AUGGGCCUUCCCCGGCCAUCGCCCAGCCUUCUUCCAGGCCUUUCUCUGGGCCUUCCCCUGGCCCUUCCUCUGGGUUUUGCACUGGGCCUUCGUCUGGGCCUUCCCCCCUUCAUUCCUCUUUACCUUCCUCUGGGCUUUCCUCCAGACCUUCAUCGGGACCUUCCCCCGGGCGUUUCCCAGACCUUCCACCAGGCCUUCCUCCAGGCCUCCCCACUGGCCCUCCUCCUUGCCUUCCCCGGGCGUCCAGCAGGCCUUUCUCUGGGCCUACUCCCAGGCCUUCCCCUGGGUCCUCCCUCCGGCCUCCAGCAGGACUUUGGGCCUCCGCCCAGGCCUUCCUUGAGGCCUUCCCCAGGCCUCCUUCUAGCCUUCCUCUUGGCCUUCCUCAAGACUUCCCUGGAGCCUUCCCUCCAGCCUUUCUCCGGGCCUUCAGGCAGGCCUUCUCUGGGCCUUCCUCCAGGCCUUCCUCAGGGCCUUCACCGGCCUUCCUCCAGGCCAUCCUCUGUGCCUCCCCCCUGGCCUUCCUCCGGGCCUUCCCCCAGCCUUCCUACGGGCUGGGCUGUCAUGCGGGCCUUCCCGUGCCUUCCUCCAGACCUUCUCAUGGGUCUUUCCCGGGCCUUCCACCAAGCCUUCCUGUGGGCCUCCCCCUGGCCUUCCUCUGGGCCUUCCCCGGGCCUUCCAGCAGGCCUUCCACGGGCCUUCCUCCAGGCCUUCCCCUGGGCCUUCCCUCGGGCCUCCACCAGGACUUCCUCUGGGCCUCCACCGGGCCUUCCUUGGGGCCUUCCACGGGCCUCCCUCCAGCCUACCUCUUGGCCUUACCCAAGCCUUCUCCCACACCUUCCCCGGGUCUCUCUCCAGCCUUCCCCUCGACCUUCUCCCCAGCCUUCCGCCGGGCCUUCACCUGGGCCUUCCCCUGGGCCUUCCUCUGGUCCUUUCCCCAGGCCUUCUUCUGGGCCUGACCUCGGGCCUCCAGCAGGACUUCCUCUGGGCCUUCCUCUGGGCCUUCCCUCGGGCCUUCCUCCGCCCUUCCCCCCUGGGCCUUCCCUGGGCCUUCCCACGCCUUCCUCUGGGCUUCCCAGGCCUUCUUCAGGCCUCCCCCCAGCCUUCCCUGGGCCUUCCUCUUGGCCUUCUCUCGGGUUUCCUGCAGGUCUUCCUCCAGGCCUUCUUCCGUGUCUUCCACAGGCCUUUCCCAGGCCUUCCACCAGGCCUUCCUCUUGGCCUUCCUCCGGGCCUCCCUCUGGGCCUUCCCUUGGGCCUUCCUCUGGGGCCUCCCUUGGGCCUUCCCUGUGCCUUCCUCCAGGCCUCCCCUGGUCUUCCUCUGGGCCUUCCCCAAGCCUUCCCCCGUCCUUCCCCUGGGUCUUCCCCCGUACUUUCUCCCGGGCCUUCCCCGGGCCUUCCUCCAGGCCUCCCCCUGGCAUUCCUCCAGGCCUUCCACGGGGCCUUCCCCUCGCCUUCUUCCAGGCCUCCCCAUAG
This 1470-nucleotide long non-coding RNA is filed under the name Vulpes vulpes (red fox). RNAcentral's name for it is "lncRNA (ENSVVUG00000008319.1)". Lineage: Eukaryota; Metazoa; Chordata; Mammalia; Carnivora; Canidae. The record is from RNAcentral.